RNAcentral lists this ribosomal RNA (429 nucleotides) under Bacteroidota bacterium. RNAcentral describes it as "Bacteroidetes bacterium partial 16S ribosomal RNA". It matches the Rfam family "Bacterial small subunit ribosomal RNA", at positions 355 to 776 of the family's 1533-position model. The record is from RNAcentral. Lineage: Bacteria; Pseudomonadati; Bacteroidota.
UAGGGAAUCUUCGGCAAUGGGGGGAACCCUGACCGAGCCACGCCGCGUGAGUGAAGAAUGUUUUCGGAUCGUAAAGCUCUGUUGUUAAGGAAGAACGAGCGUGAGAAUGGAAAGUUCAUACUGUGACGGUACCUAACUAGAAAGGGACGGCUAACUACGUGCCAGCAGCCGCGGUAAUACGUAGGUCCCGAGCGUUGUACGGAUUUAUUGGGCGUAAAGCGAGCGCAGGCGGUUAGAUGAGUCUGAAGUUAAAGGCAGUGGCUCAACCAUUGUAGGCUUUGGAAACUGUUUAGCUUGAGUGCAGAAGGGGAGAGUGGAAUUCCGUGGAUAGCGGUGAAAUGCGUAGAUGUAAGGAGAAAAGCCGGUGGCGAGAGCGGCUCUCUGGUCUGUAACUGACGCUGAGGCUAGAAAGCGUGGGGAGCAAACAGG